Molecule: ribosomal RNA, 280 nt
Filed under: uncultured Methanosarcinales archaeon
Lineage: Archaea; Methanobacteriati; Methanobacteriota; Methanomicrobia; Methanosarcinales
Description: partial 16S ribosomal RNA
Rfam family: Archaeal small subunit ribosomal RNA
Source: RNAcentral
GGCCCUACGGGGCGCAGCAGGCGCGAAAACUUUACAAUGCGGGAAACCGUGAUAAGGGGACACCGAGUGCCAGCAUCMUAUGCUGGCUGUCCGGGUGUGUAAAAUACACCUGUUAGCAAGGGCCGGGCAAGACCGGUGCCAGCCGCCGCGGUAACACCGGCGGCCCGAGUGGUGAUCGUGAUUAUUGGGUCUAAAGGGUCCGUAGCCGGUUUGGUCAGUCCUCCGGGAAAUCUGACAGCUUAACUGUUAGGCUUUCGGAGGAUACUGCCAGACUGAACCG